RNAcentral lists this ribosomal RNA (885 nucleotides) under uncultured bacterium. Its description in RNAcentral is "bacterial SSU rRNA". It matches the Rfam family "Bacterial small subunit ribosomal RNA", at positions 17 to 891 of the family's 1533-position model. The record is from RNAcentral.
UCCUGGCUCAGGAUGAACGUCUAGCUACAGGCUUAACACAUGCAAGUCGAGGGGAAACGACAUCGAAAGCUUGCUUUUGAUGGGCGUCGACCGGCGCACGGGUGAGUAACGCGUAUCCAACCUGCCCACCACUUGGGGAUAACCUUGCGAAAGUAAGACUAAUACCCAAUGAUAUCUCUAGAAGACAUCUGAAAGAGAUUAAAGAUUUAUCGGUGAUGGAUGGGGCUGCGUCUGAUUAGCUUGUUGGCGGGGUAACGGCCCACCAAGGCAACGAUCAGUAGGGGUUCUGAGAGGAAGGUCCCCCACAUUGGAACUGAGACACGGUCCAAACUCCUACGGGAGGCAGCAGUGAGGAAUAUUGGUCAAUGGACGAGAGUCUGAACCAGCCAAGUAGCGUGCAGGAUGACGGCCCUAUGGGUUGUAAACUGCUUUUAUAAGGGAAUAAAGUGAGUCUCGUGAGACUUUUUGCAUGUACCUUAUGAAUAAGGACCGGCUAAUUCCGUGCCAGCAGCCGCGGUAAUACGGAAGGUCCGGGCGUUAUCCGGAUUUAUUGGGUUUAAAGGGAGCGUAGGCCGGAGAUUAAGCGUGUUGUGAAAUGUAGACGCUCAACGUCUGCACUGCAGCGCGAACUGGUUUCCUUGAGUACGCACAAAGUGGGCGGAAUUCGUGGUGUAGCGGUGAAAUGCUUAGAUAUCACGAAGAACUCCGAUUGCGAAGGCAGCUCACUGGAGCGCAACUGACGCUGAAGCUCGAAAGUGCGGGUAUCGAACAGGAUUAGAUACCCUGGUAGUCCGCACGGUAAACGAUGGAUGCCCGCUGUUGGUCUGAAUAGGUCAGCGGCCAAGCGAAAGCAUUAAGCAUCCCACCUGGGGAGUACGCCGGCAA